UUGAUUGAACAGGAAGUUGGUGUCGGCCGCCUGCAUCCUAUUGGCCGCCAAGAUCAGCAGCGAUCUAAGGAAACAGGAGGUCAUACAUCUCAUCGAUAAGCUGGAGGAGCGCUUCAGGAUCGGCAGACGGGAGCUGAUCAGCUUUGAGUUCACCAUCCUGGUGGCCCUGGAGAUGGCCCUCUACCUCCCGGAAAGCAAAGUCAUGCCACAUUACAGGCGGCUGGUGCAGCAGCAGUUGUAGCUCGCCGCGCUUCC
Long non-coding RNA from Hippocampus comes (tiger tail seahorse), 255 nucleotides. RefSeq lists it as uncharacterized. The record is from RefSeq and is a predicted model, not a curated record. Lineage: Eukaryota; Metazoa; Chordata; Actinopteri; Syngnathiformes; Syngnathidae. The transcript is spliced from 2 exons.